GAUCCGGCCCUCCGCGGCUCCUGCGCGACCCCACGCAAAAGCGCCCCGUGCGAAGAGCGCGGCCAGCCAGUCCGCAAAGGGCCUCGGGCAGUGCGGGCAGCACGAACGGCGCGAUCGGGGAGCAGGCGCGGCUACGCUCCGCCUCAGUGAUGUCGCCGGGAGGAUCUCCGCGCGGCUACCUCCUCUUCCGCCGCCUUCCUCCCACGCCUUCACCUCCCUCCCCCGCCGCGCUCUGCGGCGAAAAGGAGCGGGCUCCCAGGCCACCUCCCCUCUCUCCACCCAGGGGCCGCGCGUCAGUGGACCUGCAGCCCAGGCAACGGGGCUGCGGACGGCGCGCGUGCCCUGCCUCGCCUCACGCCGGUAGCUGAUGCUCCCGCGGCAGCUGCCACCCCAGCGCCCCAGCCACGGCUUCAGAGGCUCUCGCACGCUGGCUUUUUUUUUUUCCCCCCGCUUUGGUGAACUCGCAGUACUUGGGCUGAGCCCGAAAUCUCGCGAGAUGCUGCAGGCGUCAGUGCGGCUUCCCACUAGGCGCGUGGUACCCGAGGCCGGGCCGGAGCCGCAGGCCAGCCGCGAUUCCUUCGGGCGAUGCUGGGGGCUUUCCGGUCGGGGCCGCAGCCGCUUCCGGAGCCGCGGGCGAGGUGCGUUCCCCAGCCUGGUUUGCUCUGGGCUCUGACCCGCCGCCGCGAAUCUCCGCUCGUAACUCCGGGCCUGAACCUGGAGGAGGGAGGAUUUCCUCUGUGCAGCUUUCGAGCGGUAGACUCACCCUGCCAGGCAGACCUAGAUUGGCAUAACCAGAGAUCAGUUCCAGUUGUGAUGCAGUGGGUGUCUACACACUUCUGAUGACACCUUUAUUUUAAAAGCUGAUGUUCCAAGAGUCGGGGUUUCACCGUGUUAGCCAGGAUGGUCUCGAUCUCCUGACCUCGUGAUCCGCCCACCUCCGCCUCUCCAAGUGCUGGGAUUACAGGCAUGAGCCACCGCGCCCGGCCCUUGUAUUUUUAAACUUUGACUUUAUGGAGACGAACACCAUCGUUUGCUGAACACUUGAAACAUGAUGAAAGAGCCACAGAGUUGGCAGAACUGUUUGAAAAUGCUGUGCAAGCGGUCUUCUCUGUCUUCUUUAUGGCCAGUAAAAUUCUCCAGAAGAGAUUUAUGGCAGCCUCACUCCCAGUAGUUUCUGCAUUUAGUGAGAUAAGGAAUGGAUUUUCUUCUGUGUAUUGCUGACACGAACAGGAGACGGAAAUACUGAGUAGAAGAGGGCGGUUCCCUGGCUAAGGCCCCACCCUCAAGCCUGGAUACCCGCGGCCCUAAAUGAGAAGAGGCGUUUCUGUUUGGGGCCCAAAAAGUUGCUUUUUGACCCACCACGCCCCCUAUCCUGCCCCCAUAUAAACCCCAAACCCCAACCUCCAGAGCAUACCAGCAGGUGAGGAGAUACGAGGCAAGCCGACUGACGGCAAAACGACGUAGCAGAGAAAGAGAGAAGAGGAGGGACGUCUGGACACCGAGAGAUGUUUGGCUCGGGGCAGUCAGAGCGGAGUCCAGCCCCUGGGCGGCCCAACUCCAGGGGAAGAUCACCUUCCCACUUCAUCCAUCCCCACCCUUCCAGCUCCCCAUCCAUCCUGCUGAAAGCCAUUUCCACCACUCAAUAAAACCUCGCAUUCAUCCUUCAAGUCCGUGUGUGACCCGAUUUUUCCUGGAUUCUGGAAAAGAGCUCGGAAUACAGAAAGCUGUCCCCUGGUCCUUUGCCCUUGUGAAAAAGCAGAAGGUCCAUUGAGCUGGUUAACACUCCAGCUGUCUGUGGUGGCCAAGCUGAAAGAGCUUUGUAACACUGGGGUUGCAGGCACCCACCUCUAGACGCUACCGCAGAGCCAGAGCCCAAAGCCCUCACCCCGGCCUCUGCACUUGCCCAUCUGCGUGCUCCCCCUCUCGCAAGGGGUUUCUGCAGAGGGGGCUACUGAACAGGUGAGCCACACCCCUGUCGCACGCCCUGCAAGGGGAAUCAGGGAACUCUUCCGUUUCAUUGCUUUGACCACAUCCUAUAAAUCUUGUUCUCCUUGUCUUUCAGCUCCAAUUUGUUUAUACAUUCAGUUUUUACUUUUGACUUUACUCAUGAUUUAUUAUAGAAAGAUGUUUAACAAUUUUCAAGCAAAUGGAAUAAUUUUUGCUCCUCUUUCGUUGUUAAUUUAUUAUUCAUUGGAGUUAGAAAAUUGUUGCUAAAAUAAAUUCUGCAUUUUGAAAUUU
This 2238-nucleotide long non-coding RNA is filed under the name Homo sapiens (human). Its description in RNAcentral is "non-protein coding LINC01184:5". Lineage: Eukaryota; Metazoa; Chordata; Mammalia; Primates; Hominidae. The record is from RNAcentral.